Molecule: ribosomal RNA, 256 nt
Filed under: uncultured bacterium
Lineage: Bacteria
Description: partial 16S ribosomal RNA
Rfam family: Bacterial small subunit ribosomal RNA
Source: RNAcentral
UAAUACGAAUGGGGCAAGCGUUGUUCGGAAUCACUGGGCUUAAAGCGUGCGCAGGCGGCCAAGCAAGUCAGAAGUGAAAUCCCCGGGCUUAACCCGGGAAUUGCUUUUGAAACUGCAUGGCUAGAAUCCAGGAGAGGUUAGCAGAAUUCCGAGUGUAGAGGUGAAAUUCGCAGAUAUUCGGAGGAAUACCAGUGGCGAAGGCGGCUAACUGGACUGGCAUUGACGCUCAGGCACGAAAGCGUGGGGAUCAAACAGG